UGGGGAAUUUUGGACAAUGGGCGCAAGCCUGAUCCAGCAAUGCCGCGUGCAGGAUGAGGGCCUUCGGGUUGUAAACUGCUUUUGUACGGAACGAAAAGCUUCUGGUUAAUACCUGGGAGUCAUGACGGUACCGUAAGAAUAAGCACCGGCUAACUUCGUGCCAGCAGCCGCGGUAAUACGUAGGGUGCGAGCGUUAAUCGGAAUUACUGGGCGUAAAGCGUGCGCAGGCGGUUAUGUAAGACAGAGGUGAAAUCCCCGGGCUCAACCUGGGAACUGCCUUUGUGACUGCAUGGCUAGAGUGCGGGAGAGGGGGAUGGAAUUCCGCGUGUAGCAGUGAAAUGCGUAGAUAUGCGGAGGAACACCGAUGGCGAAGGCAAUCCCCUGGGCCUGCACUGACGCUCAUGCACGAAAGCGUGGGGAGCAAACA
This 427-nucleotide ribosomal RNA is filed under the name uncultured bacterium. RNAcentral describes it as "bacterial SSU rRNA". It matches the Rfam family "Bacterial small subunit ribosomal RNA", at positions 355 to 774 of the family's 1533-position model. The record is from RNAcentral.